AGAGAAGCUUGCUUCUCUGCUGACGAGUGGCGCACGGGUGAGUAAUAUAUAGAUAACGUGCCUCUUAGUCUGGGAUAGCCAUUGGAAACGAUGAUUAAUACUAGAUACUCCUUCUCCUUCUAAUUGGAGUUGGGAAAGUUUUUCGCUAAGAGAUCGGUCUAUAUCCCAUCAGUUAGUUGGUAGUGUAAGAGACUACCAAGGCAAUGACGGGUAGCGGGUUUGAGAGGAUGAUCCGCCACACUGGUACUGAGACACGGACCAGACUCCUACGGGAGGCAGCAGUGAGGAAUAUUGCACAAUGGAGGAAACUCUGAUGCAGCAACGCCGCGUGGAGGAUGACGCAUUUCGGUGUGUAAACUCCUUUUAUAAGGGAAGAAAAUGACGGUACCUUAUGAAUAAGCACCGGCUAACUCCGUGCCAGCAGCCGCGGUAAUACGGAGGGUGCAAGCGUUACUCGGAAUCACUGGGCGUAAAGGACACGUAGGCGGGAUGCCAAGUCUGAUGUGAAAUCCUACAGCUUAACUGUAGAACUGCAUUGGAAACUGGUAACCUAGAGUAUGGGAGGGGGAGAUGGAAUUAGUGGUGUAGGGGUAAAAUCCG
RNAcentral lists this ribosomal RNA (600 nucleotides) under uncultured bacterium. Its description in RNAcentral is "bacterial SSU rRNA". It matches the Rfam family "Bacterial small subunit ribosomal RNA", at positions 72 to 690 of the family's 1533-position model. The record is from RNAcentral.